This 510-nucleotide ribosomal RNA is filed under the name uncultured bacterium. Its description in RNAcentral is "partial 16S ribosomal RNA". It matches the Rfam family "Bacterial small subunit ribosomal RNA", at positions 28 to 507 of the family's 1533-position model. The record is from RNAcentral.
GACGAACGCUGGCGGCGUGCUUAACACAUGCAAGUCGAACGAAGAGCGAUGGAAGCUUGCUUCUAUCACUCUUAGUGGCGCACGGGUGAGUAACGCGUAAUCAACCUGCCCUUCAGAGGGGGACAACAGUUGGAAACGACUGCUAAUACCGCAUACGAUCUAAUCUCGGCAUCGAGGAUAGAUGAAAGGUGGCCUCUACAUGUAAGCUAUCACUGAAGGAGGGGAUUGCGUCUGAUUAGCUAGUUGGAGGGGUAACGGCCCACCAAGGCGAUGAUCAGUAGCCGGUCUGAGAGGAUGAACGGCCACAUUGGGACUGGGACACGGCCCAGACUCCUACGGGAGGCAGCAGUGGGGAAUCUUCCGCAAUGGACGAAAGUCUGACGGAGCAACGCCGCGUGAGCGAUGACGGCCUUCGGGUUGUAAAGCUCUGUUAAUCGGGACGAAAGGCCUUCUUGCGAAUAGUGAGAAGGAUUGACGGUACCGGAAUAGAAAGCCACGGCUAACUACGUG